UACGUAGGGGGCAAGCGUUGUCCGGAUUUAUUGGGCGUAAAGAGCUCGUAGGUGGUUCGGUAAGUCGGAUGUGAAAUCUCCAGGCUCAACCUGGAGGGGUCAUUCGAUACUGCCGUGACUAGAGGUCGGUAGGGGAGUGUGGAAUUCCUGGUGGAGCGGUGAAAUGCGCAGAUAUCAGGAGGAACACCAAUGGCGAAGGCAGCUCGCUGGGACGGUACUGACGCUGAGACGCGAAAGCGUGGGGAGCAAACAGG
This 254-nucleotide ribosomal RNA is filed under the name uncultured bacterium. RNAcentral describes it as "partial 16S ribosomal RNA". It matches the Rfam family "Bacterial small subunit ribosomal RNA", at positions 524 to 776 of the family's 1533-position model. The record is from RNAcentral.